GACUCCCUCAAACUCCCCCGGGACUAACAGGAGAAAACCUAAAUACACUAAAAUCUCUCGAACUCUCCCACGACUAACCCCGUGAAAGUUUUCAAGUUAGGGUUAGUACUGAUUCAUCAUGGCGACACAGAUGAAAGGUUGUUGAAGGAGUACUUUGCUGAGUUGAACGAAGUAUUGACUAGAGAGCUUGAUAUAGAUGGUUAAUCUGGUGUUGAAGUUAGGGUUUUCUCAUAUGAGAACUGAAAUCAUCAUCAGAGCUACUAGAACUCAAAAUGUUCUUGGGUAAUCCGCAAAGUACUUGUGCGUUUUUCUUUAUGGAUAUCGUUUUGUUGUUGCAUACGCAGCAUCACAUCAUCAGGUCAAGAGAUAUCAAUCGCACUUUACUUAAUUUGUACCACAGGAGUCUGCAAGGGAGUUUCUUCUUUUUGGGGAUCGUAUCCGCACGUGACAAUUCAAUAUCAUUAGCCAUUUUUUUAAAAAUUUGUAUACAUUCUUAUACUCAGCUGUAAACUGCACAUUCGUAUUUGCUCACUGUGCUAAUUAGUUAAUGAGUGUUGCAACAUCCAACAUCAGGUCACGAUAUAAAUCGCCCUUUUCAGCUAGUCAUUGAACGUGUUUGGAAGGGAACUCCCUACGGUGGAUUCAAGAGCCAUUUCCAAGUACCAUAUUUGUUGAGUAACCCUUAUGUUUGCCUGGAGAUAGCUGGUUCUAUGUUGAGUGACAAUUAUUUUAUAUGCACUUAACACUUGAUUGGUUUUUUCUUCUAGUAAUUUUGAUAGUUAAUGGUUUCACAGGCUCUUACAUUGUUUUUUAUCUCAAUGUUUUUACCAUGUGGAAGUCAGACUUGAAGCAGAUUCAUGACCUGAUUCCUGGUAAUUACUAACACUGAAAUUUGCUGUGUACUGUAAAACUGAUCUGCUCGCCUUCAUAAAACUGACCUGUCUAGACUUUGGUAGGCACUCAGCUGACCGUGAAUGCGCUAUAAUGUUCUUAAUGCCGUACCUCUCAUAUAUGCUGGCCGAGGCAUACAUUUUCAACAAUGUCAUUCAUCGCGGAAGCGUUUAUCUUCUUAUACUGUGGAAUAGAUGCCUCAGAUGUAGAGAAAUGGAAAAUUAGCAAUAAGAGCUUCAAAACAUGCAUCAGUAUGUACUCCAUCAUCAUCCUUCUGAUUGCGGUUGUAAUUUGGUGGGCUGGUCUUAUGAGAGGAGCCGUUUCUAUCGCCCUGGCUUUCAAACAGUUCACUUAUUCUGGCGGAACAAUGAUUCCAGCUCAUGCAACAAUGGUCACACAUACACGGUUUUCACUAUACUUUUUACUACUGUGAUAAUACUAUUCCAAGUCAUGAUAUGACCCUUCCCUUGCUUUCAUUUGAUGAAUCUGCCUCGACCAACAUCCUUAGAGUGAAGGACAGUAUCUCCAUGCUGUUGGAAAGACCCGUAUAUACAAUACACUCAUUGGAGAAAAUUUGAUGAUAAAUACAUGAGGCUGUUUUCACCCCCUGCUCAUGAUGGAUCUGGGUUUCUAUCUAUGGCUAACUCAUGAUGGAUCUGGGUUUCUAUCUAUGGCUAAUCAUGGUCCUCAUAAAAAUGGUUCUCAGUUCUUAAUCACUUUCAAGGCUGCGCACCAUCUUGAUGGGAAGCACGUUGUGUUUGGUAAGCUUGUGCUAGGCCGUGAGACUGUAAAGAAGAUUUCGGAAAAGGGAAAACCUGAGUGUACGGUGAAAAUUGUCAACUGCAGGGAACAUCUUGAAGGAAUUAUCAUGCCAAUAUCUAGAGGGGAAUUAGUGCACAGACCAGGGAGAGAUGAUUCCUUGAGCCAUUCUCUGUCGGAUAGAUAUUACAGUGGCGACUUGUGUUGAUGGUUUGUGGUCAGGCUGUGCUGCGGAAAUAUUCCUGGAUGUGAAGAGUUGCAGCUGGAAUAAGCUGCUGAUAGGAUGACAAGUUCAAAUUGCUUGUAUGGUAUUUGCUGCACUUUUCUGCUAUAACCAUACAUUGUCAUCUAACAUCUCAUCUUGAACAAUGUCUAUUCAUUUAUUUUGCUUAUGGAACUUUCUGUCAACCUUUAUACAGUAAUGCUCAUGUCUGAGAGUACUGAAUGAGAUUGAACUGUAACUUUCAUAAUGUAAUUAUGAAUACUAGAUUUUUCUAUUUUUUGUGUUUGGUUGAAGAAUGUAUGGAUGGUUUUGGAGACCGAGAAUGUAUAAAUGGUGUUUCAAUUUUUUAUUUUUUUUUGUACUGCAGGCCUGUAAACGGAAGUCCAGGUCAUGGUGACCUGUAUUGCAGGCCUGUAAACCGGAAGCCCAGGUCCAUGAUAAU
Papaver somniferum (opium poppy) is the source of this 2315-nucleotide long non-coding RNA. RefSeq lists it as uncharacterized. The record is from RefSeq and is a predicted model, not a curated record. The transcript has 13 exons. NCBI's taxonomy places the organism in Eukaryota, Viridiplantae, Streptophyta, Magnoliopsida, Ranunculales, Papaveraceae.